Molecule: unclassified non-coding RNA, 855 nt
Filed under: Hevea brasiliensis (rubber tree)
Lineage: Eukaryota; Viridiplantae; Streptophyta; Magnoliopsida; Malpighiales; Euphorbiaceae
Source: RNAcentral
CCGUUGUCAAUUGAUGCAACUUCUGGGGUCACUCUAGCCUUUGUUUAUUGGUGACAGUCACAGAGCUAUUCAUUUCGUUUGAUGCAGAGCACACAGAUGAUAGACAACUCAACAACUUGCGUCAAUAUAGAACUCUUUAUAACUUAAUUAAAACCAUGGUACAAUUUUAAAAUGAAUGAAAUUGCCAUGAAAUCCACAUAAUUCCAUAAUCACUUGUAAAUUUCUCACUCACAAAGAACCAUCUGCAUUACCAUUGCUGCUGCCUCCUCUCCUGCUUGCUGUUGUAUUUUUCAAUAUCUGCAACAAAAAAUUUGAAAUAUCACAAAUUUUAUAACCAACCACAGAAGGGUAGCCCCCGAACCGAUUUCAGCAAUUCCGAUUCAAGGCUCAGGGGAUUGAAAUUUGAAACCGAACUAAAGGGUCCUCUCUGUUCAACUCCAGCUCGGUUCAAAUCACCACUUGCUCCCACCUGCUUCCAAACUUUGUACCAUAAAGUUUCAGCAUAAAUUUCAAUAGCCAUCCAUAAAUUUUAAGAGUUAUAAUUAAAUUUUAAGAGUUAUAAUUAAAUUAUACUUGAACUUAAAAUAUAACAUAAAAUUUCUUAAAUUUUAAAAUUUUACAAAACAAAAUCUUAUUGACUCCCAAUAAUCAAUUUAUAAGUAAAAUUAAUGUGGACAAUCCAAAAUAACAAUAACAGGAUAGUGAUAAUUGUCACUGUUUUUUUUUUUUUUUUAAGGCAGAGUCUCUCUAAUAUGUUAUUAUACAUCUAAUACUUUAUUAAUUUAUAAGGCUUAAAAUUUUUUUAUAGUUAAUCUGUGGAAAAAAAUCAUAAUUGAUUUUACCACUAUCACAUAA